RNAcentral lists this ribosomal RNA (399 nucleotides) under uncultured bacterium. RNAcentral describes it as "partial 16S ribosomal RNA". It matches the Rfam family "Bacterial small subunit ribosomal RNA", at positions 360 to 776 of the family's 1533-position model. The record is from RNAcentral.
AAUAUUGCGCAAUGGAGGAAACUCUGACGCAGCAACGCCGCGUGAAGGAUGACGGCCUUCGGGUUGUAAACCUCUUUGAGCGGGGACGAAGCUGACGGUACCCGAGGAACAAGCCACGCCUCACUACGCUCCAGCAGCCGCGGUAAUACGUAGGUGGCAAGCGUUGUCCGGAAUUACUGGGCGUAAAGGGCGUGUAGGCGGGUGAGCAAGUCAGAUGUGAAAUUCCAGGGCUUAACUCUGGCGCUGCAUCUGAAACUGUUCAUCUUGAGUGCUGGAGAGGAAAGUGGAAUUCCCAGUGUAGCGGUGAAAUGCGUAGAGAUUGGGAGGAACACCAGUGGCGAAGGCGGCUUUCUGGACAGUAACUGACGCUGAGGCGCGAAAGCGUGGGGAGCAAACAGG